This 382-nucleotide unclassified non-coding RNA is filed under the name soil metagenome. RNAcentral's name for it is "partial contains 5.8S ribosomal RNA, internal transcribed spacer 2, and large subunit ribosomal RNA". The stretch from base 1 to 120 matches the Rfam family "5.8S ribosomal RNA", at positions 35 to 154 of the family's 154-position model. The record is from RNAcentral.
GAUGAAGAACGUAGCGAAAUGCGAUAAGUAAUGUGAAUUGCAGAAUUCAGUGAAUCAUCGAAUCUUUGAACGCACCUUGCGCUCCUUGGUAUUCCGAGGAGCAUGCCUGUUUGAGUGUCAUUAAAUUCUCAACCUCACCAGUUUUGUUAUGAGACUGUGUAAGGCUUGGAUGUGGGGGUUUUUGCAGGCUGCCUCUGUGCGGUCUGCUCCCCUGAAAUGCAUUAGCGAGUUCACUAAGCUCCGUCUAUUGGUGUGAUAAUUAUCUACGCCGUGGAAUGGGUUUAGACUUGCUUCUAACCGUCUGCAAAGACAACUUUUGACAAUUUGACCUCAAAUCAGGUAGGACUACCCGCUGAACUUAAGCAUAUCAAUAAGCGGAGGA